Molecule: ribosomal RNA, 484 nt
Filed under: rape rhizosphere bacterium cse060
Lineage: Bacteria
Description: bacterial SSU rRNA
Rfam family: Bacterial small subunit ribosomal RNA
Source: RNAcentral
GCGUGCUUAAUACAUGCAAGUCGAGCGGAGUUGAUGAGGUGCUUGCACCUCUGAGACUUAGCGGCGGACGGGUGAGUAACACGUAGGUAACCUGCCUGUAAGACUGGGAUAACUCACGGAAACGUGAGCUAAUACCGGAUAGGCGAUUUUCUCGCAUGGGAGUAUCGAGAAAGGCGGAGCAAUCUGCCACUUACAGAUGGACCUGCGGCGCAUUAGCUAGUUGGUAGGGUAACGGCCUACCAAGGCGACGAUGCGUAGCCGACCUGAGAGGGUGAUCGGCCACACUGGGACUGAGACACGGCCCAGACUCCUACGGGAGGCAGCAGUAGGGAAUCUUCCGCAAUGGGCGAAAGCCUGACGGAGCAACGCCGCGUGAGUGAUGAAGGCCUUCGGGUCGUAAAGCUCUGUUGCCAAGGAAGAACAGCCGAGAGAGUAACUGCUCUUGGAAUGACGGUACUUGAGAAGAAAGCCCCGGCUAACUACG